CCUGGCCCUAAUACUCCUCCGUAUACAGCAGCCAUGUUUUCAGCUUUGUGGAGAUGCAUUUUUCAGCAGGUUGGCAGUCAGCACCUGCAGCAGCCCUGGUCUUCACGCUACCUGCUGCCAGGUGAUCUCGUCAGUGGCUCUGGCUCGUCACUUUAAAGAGCUACUUCUCAGUGUUAUUUGUGCUUUCUCUCAGAUCUGACUUUUCGUUGCCGGCUUCCAGUGACCCGGCUCUCUGCACCUCUGCAGCCAACAGUCUCGCCCUGUGCUCACCUGAGCGCCACACGCCACGCUAUCCACCAGCACCACCAUGAGCUCCCUCUCCUGCUCCUCCUCCCUCCUCUCUGACGGAGUCUCCAGCCUGACUUUCUCCACCUUCACCUGCAUUAACCUUGUGAAGUUAAAUAAACCUGUUUGCCUCGUUGUCCGCUUCUGGUUCCUGCCAAAAACCACAGCAACAACAAACUGAUUAGAAAUGACAAAUAUAAUUCAGUUAUUUAUCAGCUUAAAAAGAGCUGUUAUCAUUUUAAAUAUUUUUAUUAUUUCAUCAAUUGUAAUUCAAAAUAAACAUUAUUACACAAUA
Acanthopagrus latus (yellowfin seabream) is the source of this 580-nucleotide long non-coding RNA. RefSeq lists it as uncharacterized. Lineage: Eukaryota; Metazoa; Chordata; Actinopteri; Spariformes; Sparidae. The transcript is spliced from 2 exons. The record is from RefSeq and is a predicted model, not a curated record.